UUUGAAUCGGGAUAUCCAGAUUUUUUACAAUAAUAUUUAUGAUUUGUUUCAUUUUUUAUAGAUAUCACAUUUUACUAUUUUCUUUGAUUCAAUUUUUUACGGAUAUUCAAAAUUUUUGGAUCAAAUCGAAAUGAAUAAUGAUCGUAUUAAAUUUAACAAAUAAUUUGUCCAGCCCGAGAACAAUAUUAUACACUUUGACAUGAGUUAUAUAUAUGUAAGUACGUGAAACUAUGAACAGGGGCGUCCUCGAGGACAGCAUGGUGAAACAUGGACCUAGGGCCCCCACUUUC
Molecule: long non-coding RNA, 290 nt
Filed under: Brassica napus (rape)
Lineage: Eukaryota; Viridiplantae; Streptophyta; Magnoliopsida; Brassicales; Brassicaceae
Description: long non-coding RNA (BNAP_LNC000298)
Source: RNAcentral